This 254-nucleotide ribosomal RNA is filed under the name uncultured bacterium. Its description in RNAcentral is "partial 16S ribosomal RNA". It matches the Rfam family "Bacterial small subunit ribosomal RNA", at positions 524 to 776 of the family's 1533-position model. The record is from RNAcentral.
UACGUAGGGUCCAAGCGUUAUCCGGAAUUACUGGGCGUAAAGAGUUGCGUAGGUGGCAUGGCAAGCGAAUAGUGAAAUGACGAGGCUCAACCUUGUGUCCAUUAUUUGAACUGCCAAGCUAGAGGACGAGAGAGGUUAUUGGAAUUCCCAGUGUAGGAGUGAAAUCCGUAGAUAUUGGGAGGAACACCGAUGGCGUAGGCAGAUAACUGGCUCGUUUCUGACACUAAGGCACGAAAGCGUGGGGAGCAAACGGG